UGGGAUUCAAACUCUCUGGGUACAUAGAAGAGUAGUAAUAAAGGCAACAAUAAAGAGUGAUACAAUAAUUUACUUUCUUUUGACCUUCAAUUUUUACUAAAAUUAUGGUAACCUUUUUCACUGUCAAAAGAAGCAAGUAAUUCAGCUAAUACUAAAUCUAACUUAAAAUACUAAUUGUAAUUAAUUGGCUAGACUGCUCACUCGAAUAAUUUUUUGCAGCCUUCAACCACAAAUCGAGCUUCCUUCAUGGCCGCUCUCAAUUUAGUUCGACUGGCAAGUCCUUCAUGGCUGCUCUCACCUUUUUAGCUGGUGGCCAUCAGCUAGAUGCACAUAGCACACUGAAAAAAGGUAACCAGAGGAGAUAUCUCAGUGAUGAACUGAACAUGCUAUAACCAUGAAACCACAAAUAACUCACCAAUAGAUAACUUAUUUCUUAAGCUUCCUAUAAAGGGGAAAACUUACAUGUCAGUCCCAUACAUAUAGUCACAACAUGUAUGCAACAAAUGUACAUAUAUGAAAAGGUACGUAGAAGGAAAUACAUAGAACACGAUGGAACAAAAGAAAGCCAUUUUUUCACCUAAAAGUUAUUGUCAAAUGCAGCAAGAACAUGUGUGCAUUUUCUUGAAAUGUACAUAUAGGAAAAAGGCAAAAAAAUAUUACACAUUGCAGUGACACACAGUCAGUGAUCCUCUGGGCUAUUGCAUGAGUGGAGAAGCCAACAAACACGACAUAGAAGUCACUUAAAAGGCUAUCACCAUAUUAGCAUGUAGAUCAAAAGUAAUGAAUAGAUUGCAAUCUGUUGGGUGGAUGAGACGAGCUACACUUGCUGUCAUCUCGAACUGGCCAAUAAUGCUGAGUGGGAAUCAACACCCUUGAAAAGAAAUCGUAGUAUUUUGGUUUAAUCACAAGCUAUGAUAUAUAC
Molecule: long non-coding RNA, 922 nt
Filed under: Triticum aestivum (bread wheat)
Lineage: Eukaryota; Viridiplantae; Streptophyta; Magnoliopsida; Poales; Poaceae
Description: long non-coding RNA (TAES_LNC021483)
Source: RNAcentral